CCUACGGGUGGCAGCAGUGGGGAAUAUUGGGCCAUGGAGGCCACUCUGACCCAGCCCUGCCGCGUGAAUGAAGAAGGUCUUCGGAUUGUAAAGUUCUUUAAUCAGGGACGAAGAAGAUGAUGGUACCUGAAGAAUAAGCCACGGCUAACUGUGUGCCAGCCGCAGCGGUAAUACAUAGGCGGGAAGCGUUGUUCGGUAGGACGGGGCGUAAGGGGAGCGUAGGCGGUCUGUUAAGUUGGUAGUGAAAUCCCGGGGCUCAACGCCGGAACUGCGUUCACGACUGACGGACUUGAGUGUAAGAGAGGAAAGCGGAAUACCGAGUGUAGCGGUG
This 331-nucleotide ribosomal RNA is filed under the name uncultured bacterium. RNAcentral's name for it is "partial 16S ribosomal RNA". It matches the Rfam family "Bacterial small subunit ribosomal RNA", at positions 338 to 683 of the family's 1533-position model. The record is from RNAcentral.